Molecule: ribosomal RNA, 375 nt
Filed under: uncultured organism
Description: partial 16S ribosomal RNA
Rfam family: Bacterial small subunit ribosomal RNA
Source: RNAcentral
GUAGGUGGCAAGCGUUGUCCGGAAUUAUUGGGCGUAAAGCGCGCGCAGGCGGUUCUUUAAGUCUGAUGUGAAAGCCCACGGCUCAACCGUGGAGGGUCAUUGGAAACUGGAGAACUUGAGUACAGAAGAGGAAAGCGGAAUUCCACGUGUAGCGGUGAAAUGCGUAGAGAUGUGGAGGAACACCAGUGGCGAAGGCGGCUUUCUGGUCUGCAACUGACGCUGAGGCGCGAAAGCGUGGGGAGCAAACAGGGAUUAGAUACCCUGGUAGUCCACGCCGUAAACGAUGAGUGCUAAGUGUUAGGGGGGUUUUCCGCCCCCCUUAGUGCUGCAGCUAACGCAUUAAGCACUCCGCCUGGGAGUACGACCGCAAGGUUG